CGAUGGUAGGAUAGAGGCCUACCAUGGUGGUAACGGGUAACGGGGAAUUAGGGUUCGAUUCCGGAGAGGGAGCCUGAGAAACGGCUACCACUUCCAAGGAAGGCAGCAGGCGCGCAAAUUACCCAAUCCCGACACGGGGAGGUAGUGACAAUAAAUAACAAUACGGGGCUCUUUCGGGUCUCGUAAUUGGAAUGAGUACAAUUUAAAUCCCUUAACGAGGAACAAUUGGAGGGCAAGUCUGGUGCCAGCAGCCGCGGUAAUUCCAGCUCCAAUAGCGUAUAUUAAAGUUGUUGCAGUUAAAAAGCUCGUAGUUGAAUUUCGGGAUUGACGUGAUGGUCGUGCCUUAAGGGGUAUGAACUGUCGCAGUUGAUUUCUCACCUUCUGGAGAAGCAUGAUGUCCUUAAUUGGGUGUCAUGUGGAACCAGGACCUUUACCUUGAAAAAAUUAGAGUGUUUAAAGCAGGCAUUUUGCUCGAAUACAUUAGCAUGGAAUAAUAGAAUAGGACGGCAUGGUUCUAUUUUGUUGGUUUCUAGGAUCACCGUAAUGAUUAAUAGGGAUAGUUGGGGGCAUUAGUAUUCAAUUGUCAGAGGUGAAAUUCUUGGAUUUAUUGAAGACUAACUACUGCGAAAGCAUUUGCCAAGGAUGUUUUCAUUAAUCAAGAACGAAAGUUAGGGGAUCGAAGACGAUCAGAUACCGUCGUAGUCUUAACCAUAAACUAUGCCGACUAGGAAUCAGAC
Molecule: ribosomal RNA, 737 nt
Filed under: uncultured fungus
Lineage: Eukaryota; Fungi
Description: SSU rRNA
Rfam family: Eukaryotic small subunit ribosomal RNA
Source: RNAcentral